Molecule: ribosomal RNA, 446 nt
Filed under: uncultured bacterium
Lineage: Bacteria
Description: partial 16S ribosomal RNA
Rfam family: Bacterial small subunit ribosomal RNA
Source: RNAcentral
CCUACGGGAGGCAGCAGUCGAGAAUCAUUCACAAUGGGGGAAACCCUGAUGGUGCGACGCCGCGUGGGGGAAUGAAGGUCUUCGGAUUGUAAACCCCUGUCAUGUGGGAGCAAAUUAAAAAGAUAGUACCACAAGAGGAAGAGACGGCUAACUCUGUGCCAGCAGCCGCGGUAAUACAGAGGUCUCAAGCGUUGUUCGGAAUCACUGGGCGUAAGGCGUGCGUAGGCUGUUUCGUAAGUCGUGUGUGAAAGGCGCGGGCUCAACCCGCGGACGGCACAAGAUACUGCGAGACUAGAGUAAUGGAGGGGGAACCGGAAUUCUCGGUGUAGCAGUGAAAUGCGUAGAUAUCGAGAGGAACACUCGUGGCGAAGGCGGGUUCCUGGACAUUAACUGACGCUGAGGCACGAAGGCCAGGGGAGCGAAAGGGAUUAGAUACCCGUGUAGUC